Non-coding RNA from Dermatophagoides farinae (American house dust mite), 1159 nucleotides. NCBI's taxonomy places the organism in Eukaryota, Metazoa, Arthropoda, Arachnida, Sarcoptiformes, Pyroglyphidae. The record is from RefSeq and is a predicted model, not a curated record.
UCAAAUUCUUCAAAAACAUUUGAAUUCUCCGAACCACUAGCAGAAAUACCGGUCUUUCGACUUGAUUUUGAUACAGUAUAAAUUGAUGUGCGCAUGAUCAAUACGUAUUCACAUUUUUUUACAAUUGGAUCCAUUUGCCACUACUAUUGACAGAAAUAUUUCCAUAGAUUCCAAAUAUCCAUUUUAGUGGAUACAUAAGAAUUUUUUUCCAUCAUCAAAUGGCAAGCCUACUACCUUUUCGAGGAUAUAUACAAUGGACAUACCAUUUACUAUUGCUACUAUUGAAUCAAAAAUGAGAAAAGUAGUGGAAUCAUCGGAUACUAUUGUUGCAGCUGCUGAUAACGUCAGUAAAUAAGAGGAAGCAGUACAAUCAAUUUAAUAUGGGGAAAAAAUUGCAAAGUUGCAACUUAUCAUUAUCAACAAUUUUUAGAUGGAUAGAGCUCAAACAUAUCGGCAAAAUUCAUCAACAUACAGUGGCACUGGGUUCAUGAAGAAAUUCGGUAACACCAAAAAAGAAUGAUUCAACCAAAUCAGAAAUCAACAUAUCACUGUAUUAUCCGAAUGAUUGCUGCCGUCUGCAAUCCGGUAUAUAUAUCAUACAUGCUCGUCGUUUACCUUCGUUGAUGAUGAUGGUGAUGAUGAUGAUAUAAACCGAGCACACACACACACACACUUUUUGGUCCUUGUGGAUACCAAAAGAAUGUUCAUGUGUAAAGUGUGUGUAUUAAUAAAAGAAAAAAUAAAUUUCAUUAAUAAUCAUCAUCAUCAUCAUCAGUGAAAAAACAUCGAUUGUCGUCGUCGUCGACACAUACACAAACACACAAUAAAUCGCCGACGACAACCAUGGCCAUAGACACGCAGACAACAAAAAAUAUCUGAAAAAAAAUUCGAAUCAUCAUCAUCAUCAAAGUUCCAUCCACAUUGCAACAACAAUAAUUAAUAAAAUAUAAAUAUAAAUAUAAAUAAAAAAUAAAAAAAUAAAUUAAUAAUCUAAACCACAAGCCAAGCCAAUCCAUCGUGUCCUAUUGGCGACCUAAUCGUGUGUAUGUUGGUGUGGGUGUGUAUUUGUAUAUAAUUAAGCGAACUCAGAUGAAAAUCAUGGACUUAUUACGAUGAUGGUGAUUGUGUUUUUUCUCUUUCAUAUUAUCUCAGUUUGAAU